CCUACGGGAGGCAGCAGUGGGGAAUAUUGGACAAUGGGGGCAACCCUGAUCCAGCAAUGCCGCGUGAGUGAUGAAGGCCUUCGGGUUGUAAAGCUCUUUUGUUAGGGACGAUGAUGACGGUACCUAACGAAUAAGCCCCGGCUAACUUCGUGCCAGCAGCCGCGGUAAUACGAAGGGGGCUAGCGUUGUUCGGAAUGACUGGGCGUAAAGGGCGCGUAGGCGGCUUAAUAAGUUUGGUGUGAAAUCCCUGGGCUCAACCUAGGAAUUGCAUUGAAAACUGUUAAGCUAGAGACUAAGAGAGGGAAAUGGAAUUGCGUGUGUAGAGGUGAAAUUCGUAGAUAUACGCAAGAACACCGGUGGCGAAGGCGAUUUCCUGGCUUAGAACUGACGCUAAGGCGCGAAAGCGUGGGGAGCAAACAGGAUUAGAUACCCUGGUAGUCCACGCUGUAAACGAUGAAAGCUAGAUGUCGGGGUAGUACCCUACCGGUACGUACGUCGUCGAACCGACGACUAAGUACGUUUCCGUUCCCGUCGGGUAGGGUACGGUUCGGUCGACGAUAAACUUAACAACUAGAUAGUACGGCGUGAGACUGCGAACGGACGACACCAGGGAGGUAAGG
RNAcentral lists this ribosomal RNA (620 nucleotides) under uncultured bacterium. RNAcentral describes it as "bacterial SSU rRNA". The stretch from base 1 to 533 matches the Rfam family "Bacterial small subunit ribosomal RNA", at positions 338 to 873 of the family's 1533-position model. The record is from RNAcentral.